AAGUUUCUACACAUAUAAACAAGCAUCACAGAGUUGGUUUCAUAUUUUUCCUACUUUUCUUCUAUUUAUUAGGAUUUAAAAGGCCUAAACCAUGAUUAAAAGCAUAGGAUAUUAUUUACCAUAGUAACAUGAGCAAACUUAUUUUUCUUAGAAACUAGACAGAUCAAGGAUUCCAACAAAAGUGGUUUGGUAUUUUUGUAAUUUUUCUAUGAUUUACUGGGCAUUUCCAAAGUUAAAGCCUUUUUCUGCCUAUUAUUAAAAGAAAAGCCAUGGCAGACUUGCAAGCUAGCCCCUAGGUUUAUGGUUAAACUAUGCAAAGGUCUCUGAGUUUUGCACCCAGACCCCUGGAAAGAAAGGGGACGAUGCAAUGUGGCCCCCGGGGCGCGCGCGACAGCGGCGGGAAAAUUCCCGGCGGUUCGCCGGCGAUGUUGGGACGACAAGUAGCCGGGAGGGCGCGGGGGCUCACCUAAGCUUGGUUUGGCAGGGUUGGUGCGACGGAGAUGGCUGGUGGGAAGUGGAACACGGCGGCGGUGGCGGAGCUCGGCUGGCGGCGGUGCAGGCGGCGUUCCGGC
This 572-nucleotide long non-coding RNA is filed under the name Setaria viridis. RNAcentral describes it as "long non-coding RNA (SVIR_LNC005994)". Lineage: Eukaryota; Viridiplantae; Streptophyta; Magnoliopsida; Poales; Poaceae. The record is from RNAcentral.